GGCAAUUUAAGGCGAUUUCAGGCGAUUUAAGAUUUUAAUGCGAGUUUAGAUGCCAGAGUAGGCCUGAAAUUGGCCUGUAAUUCUCUGUGUAUUCUUUGUCACAUUUCUUAUAAACGGGAACAACGUUCGCUAGUUUCCAAUCUUCUGGCACAGUUCCUUGUUGCAAUGAUUGUUGAAUAGCUCGCAGAUGGAGGGAGUGAUUAUUGAGGGGGUUUCUUUCAGAAGUCUGGCUGGGAUUUCGUCCAGUCCGGUUUCUUUGUUAGUAUAAAAGGAGUUAAGUAACGUUUCUACAUCUAACUCAGUUUGAGUUCAGUUAAAACUGGAUCUGUCCUGUUGAGAUGUUGAACAGGAAUGUUUUUAGAUGUAAAUACGGGGGCAAAGUAGGUAUUGAAGAAGUCAGCUAUUUCGUUUGGAUUUGUAGCAAUAUAUACAAGUUUGUAGCAAUAUAUAUAGUUACAGAUAUACUCUCUUACGUCCAUAUUCUUUGAUCGGCGACUUGUUGUCAGUUUCUCUGCGUCAAUGGCAAAUUUCUUCUUUUUCUUGGUAUGAUGGGUAUUCAUCUAAAUAAAAAAUUGAAUUCUUUUGUAUAGAAAAAUGUUC
Paramuricea clavata is the source of this 600-nucleotide non-coding RNA. Lineage: Eukaryota; Metazoa; Cnidaria; Anthozoa; Malacalcyonacea; Plexauridae. The record is from the annotation of a GenBank genome assembly.